This 199-nucleotide non-coding RNA is filed under the name Bacillus sp. (in: firmicutes). RNAcentral's name for it is "Bacillus sp. T-box sequence". It matches the Rfam family "T-box leader". Rfam says of the family: Uncharged tRNA acts as the effector for transcription antitermination of genes in the T-box leader family. T-boxes are found upstream of many aminoacyl-tRNA synthetase genes and some amino acid biosynthetic genes usually in Gram-positive bacteria. The anticodon of a specific tRNA base pairs to a specifier sequence within the T-box motif, and the NCCA acceptor tail of the tRNA base pairs to a conserved bulge in the T-box antiterminator hairpin. Lineage: Bacteria; Bacillati; Bacillota; Bacilli; Caryophanales; Bacillaceae. The record is from RNAcentral.
GUUAAAACAUUGACAGGAAGCAGUAGCGAAUAUUCCUUCUUAAGAGAGCCGGUGGGUGGUGCGAACCGGUGCUGGAAGUUUGUGAAUCCGUCCUCGAGUGAAGCAUUGAAAUGCUUCCGGUCAUGGCCGUUAUCAUGCAGAGCUGGAAGACUUCUGUCUUCAAUUAGGGUGGCAUCGCGGGUUAACUCUCGUCCCUUUA